Molecule: ribosomal RNA, 396 nt
Filed under: Triticum aestivum (bread wheat)
Lineage: Eukaryota; Viridiplantae; Streptophyta; Magnoliopsida; Poales; Poaceae
Description: partial small subunit ribosomal RNA
Source: RNAcentral
AUGAGAAACGAGGUAGUGGCUUUUUAUCAAUCAUUGAAGAUUGCACUGCAGUUCCGUCAUAUUUCUGGACGUUCAGUUAUCUCUGGCUUCGAAGAGCAAGUGGAAAGCCUUCGGUUUGAUUUUAACCCCCACAAGGACUUGGUCGGUGUCUAUCUUGAGUUAUGGAAACGGGAUGCUAAGAAAAAGGUGAAUUUGGGUGAGGCUUUGAGGCAAUUGUAUGAAGAUGACGUUUUCCCCUCCCGCAAGGCUUUGAUCAAAUAUGCUCUGGAUAGCUGUCCAGACACCAGUUUGAUAAAACAUAAUUACGAUACCUAUGUGGAUGGCAUUGAUGAGAAGCUUCCGGAAGACGAAGCUCAUCCCUUGAUCAUGGAGGCCGUUAAGAAAAUGGCUAGUUGA